RNAcentral lists this ribosomal RNA (254 nucleotides) under uncultured bacterium. RNAcentral describes it as "partial 16S ribosomal RNA". It matches the Rfam family "Bacterial small subunit ribosomal RNA", at positions 524 to 776 of the family's 1533-position model. The record is from RNAcentral.
UACGUAGGGCGCAAGCGUUAUCCGGAAUUAUUGGGCGUAAAGAGCUCGUAGGCGGUUUGUCGCGUCUGCCGUGAAAGUCCGGGGCUCAACUCCGGAUCUGCGGUGGGUACGGGCAGACUAGAGUGAUGUAGGGGAGACUGGAAUUCCUGGUGUAGCGGUGAAAUGCGCAGAUAUCAGGAGGAACACCGAUGGCGAAGGCAGAUCUCUGGGGCCGUAACUGACGCUGAGGAGCGAAAGCAUGGGGAGCGAACAGG